RNAcentral lists this ribosomal RNA (792 nucleotides) under Triticum aestivum (bread wheat). Its description in RNAcentral is "partial small subunit ribosomal RNA". Lineage: Eukaryota; Viridiplantae; Streptophyta; Magnoliopsida; Poales; Poaceae. The record is from RNAcentral.
AUGGAUUUGCUCCGUCGUGCUGGUAUGCUUCAGUGUAAGCCUGCUACUACUCCUAUGUCAGCUUCUGAUCGUCUCUCUGCACUUGAUGGUACUCUUCUUCCUUCGGAUGAGGCUACCAAGUAUCGCAGUAUUGUUGGUGGCUUACAGUAUUUGACGAUCACUCAACCUGAUAUUUCCUAUGUGGUUAACAGUGUGUGCCAGUUCCUUCAUGCUCCUCGGGAUACUCACUGGACUGCUGUCAAACGCAUUCUGCGUUAUGUUUGUUUCACUGCUGCUCUGGGCUUGCAUCUUCGGUCUGCUCCUUCCGGUAGUCUCUCGGCCUUCUCUGAUGCUGAUUGGGCUGGUAGCCCGGAUGACAGGCGCUCUACGGGGGGAUAUGCAGUAUUCUAUGGUCCUAAUUUGAUCGCCUGGAGUGCUCGUAAACAAGCUACUGUGUCACGUAGUAGUACUGAAGCUGAAUACAAAGCAGUUGCCAAUGCUACUGCUGAAGUAAUUUGGGUUCAGUCCUUGCUUCGAGAGUUGAGAGUCUCUCAGAAUCAUCCACCUGUUCUUUGGUGUGACAACAUUGGUGCAACGUAUCUUUCUUCAAAUCCAGUUUUUCAUGCCCGAACGAAACACAUCGAAGUUGACUAUCAUUUUGUCAGAGAACGGGUUUCACAGAAGUUACUUCAGAUCAAGUUCAUUCCUUCGAAAGAUCAACUUGCUGAUAUCUUCACGAAGCCGUUGCCACUGCCUCAGUUUGAGGGUUGUCGUCGCAAUCUUAAUCUUCUGAAUUCUUCAGACCACGGUUAA